UUGAAAAGGUAGUGAAUGAAAUAUGAAAUAUGAAAUGCUUUGGAUUGUCAUUUUCUUUAGAUCCAAAACGUGUUGCAACCACAUGUGAGACCUUUUCACUUAGUGGAAUAUUGAUCCUUAAAUACAAGCAUGGCAGCAACGUUUUUUCUCCUCAGAAAGACACCAACAACACUUUUCACUCCAAAAGAAACAUAAUAGUAACGUUAUUUCCCAAAACAUAGCAGCAAGUUGUCCUUCCAAAAGAGAACAACAAUGUUUCCAUUUACGUUGGGGAGAUCGAAGGUUAUUUUAUAGUGAAGUAAGGAGGAAGAAGAUUAUUUCUUGGCAUAUAAGGUAACGACAUGACAUUGGGGGAGAGCAAGUGAACGAUAACAUAGCUAAACGACAGAGGUAGACAGGGAGACGAUUUUGAUCCAGAUGCAUAGGAGUUAGCGGCUGAUUUGAGAGCACUCCAUUGUUCGGAGGUGCUUACGGUUAUUCUGUUGUGUAUAUCUAUGUAUAUUUUGGGCAUGAAGGAGUCUUGUUCCGCCUAUAUGUAUAGUACUUCAGUAGAGGCUCGUAGGUACGCAGUGUGGGUAGUAUGGUCUUACAGUUUUUACGUAUAUGCAUAUUACUAUUUUGAUAGCCUAAGGGCUUAUGUUUAUAAAA
Lycium barbarum (goji berry) is the source of this 648-nucleotide long non-coding RNA. RefSeq lists it as uncharacterized. Lineage: Eukaryota; Viridiplantae; Streptophyta; Magnoliopsida; Solanales; Solanaceae. The record is from RefSeq and is a predicted model, not a curated record. The transcript has 2 exons.